AGUGAACGCUGGCGGUAGGCCUAACCCAUGCAAGUCGAACGGCAGCGCAGUAAGAGCUUGCUCUUACGGGUGGCGAGUGGCGGACGGGUGAGGAAUACAUCGGAAUCUACUUUUUCGUGGGGGAUAACGUAGGGAAACUUACGCUAAUACCGCAUACGACCUACGGGUGAAAGCAGGGGAUCUUCGGACCUUGCGCGAUUGAAUGAGCCGAUGUCGGAUUAGCUAGUUGGCGGGGUAAAGGCCCACCAAGGCGACGAUCCGUAGCUGGUCUGAGAGGAUGAUCAGCCACACUGGAACUGAGACACGGUCCAGACUCCUACGGGAGGCAGCAGUGGGGAAUAUUGGACAAUGGGCGCAAGCCUGAUCCAGCCAUACCGCGUGGGUGAAGAAGGCCUUCGGGUUGUAAAGCCCUUUUGUUGGGAAAGAAAAGCAGCAGGUUAAUACCCCGCUGUUCUGACGGUACCCAAAGAAUAAGCACCGGCUAACUUCGUG
RNAcentral lists this ribosomal RNA (492 nucleotides) under uncultured bacterium. RNAcentral's name for it is "partial 16S ribosomal RNA". It matches the Rfam family "Bacterial small subunit ribosomal RNA", at positions 29 to 507 of the family's 1533-position model. The record is from RNAcentral.